RNAcentral lists this ribosomal RNA (546 nucleotides) under Triticum aestivum (bread wheat). RNAcentral's name for it is "partial small subunit ribosomal RNA". Lineage: Eukaryota; Viridiplantae; Streptophyta; Magnoliopsida; Poales; Poaceae. The record is from RNAcentral.
AUGCUACUUCACGAGAUGCUCAACACAAGGAACAAAAAUAGGAGAUCUUCAGAGAUGCGCUCAAUGAUAAUGCCUGGACGCAUGAUGUGCAAGGGGAGCUCUCUUUCUUGGGCCACAUGCAAGUCUACUCGCUAUGCCAAGCCAUCAACACCGUUGAGAGGAAUUCGGAGGAGCCUGACCAAUUCAUUUGGCCUUGUCACGCUUCAGGAAGUUACAAUGCAAGUGCCACAUACAAGUGGCUUUGCAUGGGGCAAGUCAAAAAACCCACCACAGGCUGCAUUUGGCGAAGUUGGGCAUCGCUCAAGUGCAAAAUCUUCAUGUGGCUUGCUAGCCAAUACCGUCUUUGGACUUCUGACCGUUGAGCUCGACAUGGUCUCCAAGACACGCCUUCGGCCUGCUACACGUGCCUGCAAGACGAGGACAAUCCCGACCACAUCCUUGCACAUUGUGGUUAUGCGAGAGAAGUGUGGCACUUGUGCUUCAACGAAUGGAGGCUCAACAUUCAAAUCCCAUCUACAGAUGUCACCUUCUUGCAAUGGUGGCUAG